RNAcentral lists this long non-coding RNA (219 nucleotides) under Capsella rubella. RNAcentral describes it as "long non-coding RNA (CRUB_LNC003583)". Lineage: Eukaryota; Viridiplantae; Streptophyta; Magnoliopsida; Brassicales; Brassicaceae. The record is from RNAcentral.
UAGCCGGGAGCAUCUCUUCUCUAAACACUACGUGUAAGAUAUAUAAAUACUCUUUUUUUUUUUCUUUUUUCUUUAUUAGAGGAAUGGAAAAUAAAAAGUUGAGUGUUGUGAGUUUUAAAACUGUUCUGUUUAGGCGUUGAUGAACAAUCAGCAUAAAGCUUAAUACAAACGUGGAGCAUGUCUCGCUUCAUCUUAAGUAAACUAAACACUAAUUUUGUC